CCCGCCUGGCGAAGCGGACCGGCGGGAGGCUGUGACCUACGUCCGGGAGGAGCUCGCAAAUGGCCGGGUACCUAGACCAACGUGGAGACCCCCACAGACCCCCACAGUAUCGCCAUCAAAAUAAGGGGUCCUCAUGCAUGGUGAGUGUAGUUGAACCAAUAGAAUGUUCUGCUUGAUAAUUAUUGCUCUCUAUUUCUCAACAGCCUUUCUUCAAUUUUCAUCCUCAGGUGCAGAAAAUAAAAAAAAAAAUUCAAUUACUACAGUUCUAUGCUUUACUUAAUAAUUAAUCGCCCAUCCCAUCACACUAUGAAUAUUUACAUGCAAAGCGUCCCUGGGAGCCAUCCAUAUGCCAGAGGGAGGGAAGUCUGUGUGUUUAUAGCAUUAAACGCUCAAAUAUCGUCACAAACCCCAUUUCGCCUCCAACCAUGAAAAACACUCACUAAAGCAUUGCAAGCAUUUUAUUUGGUGUUGCACAAUGUAACCUAUUCAAGUCCCAUUUAGACGUGGAGAGUCAGACUACAGGUACUCUCUCUAUGCUGAGCAGGAAAAUGCAGGUGGAUGCCCCACUGGUUGCUUGGAUCACUGACUAUUUAACAAGUCGACCACAGCAUGUUCGGCUGAAGAGCU
This is a long non-coding RNA of Oreochromis aureus, 627 nucleotides long. RefSeq lists it as uncharacterized. Lineage: Eukaryota; Metazoa; Chordata; Actinopteri; Cichliformes; Cichlidae. The record is from RefSeq and is a predicted model, not a curated record. The transcript has 4 exons.